Molecule: ribosomal RNA, 245 nt
Filed under: uncultured bacterium
Lineage: Bacteria
Description: partial 16S ribosomal RNA
Rfam family: Bacterial small subunit ribosomal RNA
Source: RNAcentral
UACGGAGGAUGCAGGCGUUAUCCGGAUUCAUUGGGUUUAAAGGGUGUGUAGGCGGGAUAAUAAGUCAGUGGUGAAAUACUGCAGCUUAACUGUAGAACUGCCAUUGAUACUGUUGUUCUUGAGUGUAGUUGAGGUGGGCGGAAUGUGUCAUGUAGCGGUGAAAUGCUUAGAUAUGACACAGAACACCGAUUGCGUAGGCAGCUCACUAAACUAUAACUGACGCUGAGGCACGAAAGCGUGGGGAU